CAACGACGAUAGCUUAUAUAGAGCACAUUGGAGAAUAGAUAAUUAUAUAAAC
This 52-nucleotide unclassified non-coding RNA is filed under the name Leishmania tarentolae. Its description in RNAcentral is "guide RNA". The record is from RNAcentral. Lineage: Eukaryota; Euglenozoa; Kinetoplastea; Trypanosomatida; Trypanosomatidae.